Long non-coding RNA from Ficedula albicollis (Collared flycatcher), 267 nucleotides. RefSeq lists it as uncharacterized. The transcript is spliced from 3 exons. Lineage: Eukaryota; Metazoa; Chordata; Aves; Passeriformes; Muscicapidae. The record is from RefSeq and is a predicted model, not a curated record.
AACAAGACAACACAUACACACUGGAUUCAGGUCUACAUGUGGAGAUAAUUCAUUCAAUACCAACAAAGGGUGCAUUUCCAGUGCUAAAGGAAGAGACGUUUUAUGAUGCAAAGAGAAAAAGUAAAGAGAAAAGAUAUAAAGGCAGAAGAUACCACAGUCUUUGAGGAAAUGGCGAGUAUUCAAAAUGCUAUUGAACUUGGGGGUGCUAUAACUGGUAGGCACCUUGACAGUUUUAUUCCAUGGCCAAACAAAAUCCCUAGUUUGACA